RNAcentral lists this transfer RNA (32 nucleotides) under Aeglopsis chevalieri. RNAcentral describes it as "partial tRNA-Asp". Lineage: Eukaryota; Viridiplantae; Streptophyta; Magnoliopsida; Sapindales; Rutaceae. The record is from RNAcentral.
CGGGACUGACGGGGCCGAACCCGCAGCUCCGC